AAACAACUGCUUCUGAAGGGAAACUUCCUUUGCAGCACCUCAAAAAGUGACGUUUAUUGAAUGAACCUCGCCCCUCGAAGCAGGCACUGUUUGUGUUCAACUGAAGAUAGCCUUAUAGUUUCGUUCCUGCUAAGGAGAUAGGUAAAAAAGGAAGAUUUUGUGUGAAGCAGGGUUAAGCCGUGAAGACAGGAAUUUCAAAAGCUUGGGCAUUAGCAGAACAUGACAGACCUGACCUGAGAUGCAGGGCCUCUUUGUGUGCUUCCUUCAGUGCUCCUUGCUUUCUGCAUAUCACUCAUUUGUGACGGCAGGUAAGGGCUGUUCAGCUCUUAGAGUGGCAAUGGUGUCUGUUUUGGAUGUGUCUGCGCUGUGCAGCGCUUGCACUGGAAUGUGCACGCAGAGAGUGCAGACAUUGCACCUGGCACAAACCAGUGGUGUUUAAGCAGCUGCAGCUUCAGUAAGGGUUUUUUUUUUGUGAACUUUGUGUCCAGCACUUGCUGCUUGUGCUUCUGGUUCAUGCACAGCAAUAGUUAGCGUUUGGAUUUAAAGCGCUCUGUGAAGAUAUUUGUGUUUGCAAGAGAAUUCAUUUUUUAAGAAAAUAUUAUAAAUAGUGUUACAUUUUGAGCUGAUGUAUUUACGACAGUGUCUGAACUUUUGCCCUAAAAUAUACAGGCACGGGAAAGUGAUUCUAUUGCUAGAAAUCUAAUGUUAUUGCCUGGUCUGCAUUAGACAAAAGGCAUUGCAUGAGGCUCCUGGAUAGCUCUUUUUAAAUGUGUAUUACCUGAAAUUCUAAUUUCAUCUUGCCGUUCACGUUGUCCCGUGCAGGUCUGGCAACUCUCCCCCAUUAGAUGCUGGAAGGGCUGUCCAUCAGAUGGCUGAGAGCUGAAGCAAUGUUUCUACAUCAUUGCAACCAAUCAGGCAAGCAAAGCAGAUUUCAGAACUGGAGGAACAUUAAUGUACUAAAAUAGGACCGAGUCCUGAAACCCUAGCCUGGCCGGGGGAAAAAAUCUCCAUUGUCUUCAGUGGGAGCUGCCUGGCGUGACGUUACCGCAGUGCCGCUCCGUCAGCACGCAGUGGCAUGCAGCAGGGACAGACCCAGGCGCCGUGCAGUGCAGUGAGCACGCAGCCCCGCCGAGAGCCCACCACGCACAUCUCUGCUUUGCUUCAUCGCUUUGGUCCAAGCUCCUGAGCCAAUGUCUCUGCCCCCAUUCAGCUCCAGGCUUUCCGAAGUGUUGUUGUUGGACAGAUUUCCUUUGCAAACACAGCUCUCGGAAUGGAGUGCAGCAGCUUCACACAGUAGUUGAGAUUCCAAGGCAGAUAUUCCCAGGAUGCUGGCAGCUGCUUUUGCUGCUGCUGUUGGGACUCCAGGAUGUAAACUCCAGAGAUUAAACCUCGCGGCUGAAGGGCUGGGGCCACUCAGAGUGAAGGACUCAGGGUUGCAUUGCACAAGGUUAAUCUGACUUUUAAAAGAAACUAGAAAUUGAGAAAAAGACAUUAUCCUGUCCCCCCCAUAUUAGAGUUUUCCUGCUGACUUCAAAAGAAACAAGACAAGGCUUGACCAGAUCCAUAGCAAGCUGAGGCAAAGGGGAGAUUUGCCUUCGAGAGAACGUGUCUGGGCAGAUAAAGGGAGGCUGAAGCUGGAGCCUGCCAAAGGCCGAGGCACAGCUUUUGUGAGACCCGGACCUUGUGCUGUGUGGCCAGAGCUAGGGAUGGAGACCACUAUGGAAAGAAACGCAUGCUUUACGGCAGCCUGAAGGGAUGCCACGUUUGUUUGGGUCUAUAGGUGUUUGCAGCCAGGCGGGUACAGAUGACCACAUCUGCUCUUCGUGGGGCUCAGAUGGGUUUGGUGCAGGCCAGCUACAGUCUAGGUGCCGUAG
Molecule: long non-coding RNA, 1874 nt
Organism: Numida meleagris (helmeted guineafowl)
Lineage: Eukaryota; Metazoa; Chordata; Aves; Galliformes; Numididae
Source: Ensembl